RNAcentral lists this ribosomal RNA (406 nucleotides) under uncultured bacterium. RNAcentral describes it as "partial 16S ribosomal RNA". It matches the Rfam family "Bacterial small subunit ribosomal RNA", at positions 28 to 526 of the family's 1533-position model. The record is from RNAcentral.
GACGAACGCUGGCGGCGUGCCUAAUACAUGCAAGUCGAACGAGUGGCGGACGGGUGAGUCAUGUCUGGGAAACUGCCUGAUGGAGGGGGAUAACUACUGGAAACGGUAGCUAAUACCGCAUACCAUCAGAUGUGCCCAGAUGGGAUUGGCUAGUAGGUGGGGUAAUUGCUCACCAAGCCGACGAUCCCUAGCUGGUCUGAGGGGAUUACCAGCCAGACUGGAACUGAUACACGGUCGAGACUCCGACGGGAGGCAGCAGUGGGUAGUAUUGCACAAGGGGCGAAAGCCUGAUGCAGCCAUGCCGCGUGUGUGAAGAAGGCCUUCGGGUUGUAAAGCACUUUCAGCGAGGAGGCUUUACUCGCAGAAGAAGCACCGGCUAACUCCGUGCCAGCAGCCGCGGUAAUAC